GAAAAGGGUGCCUUGGUGUUUUGACUAGAGAGCAUGCUUUGAUGCUCUUGCAUUGACAAAGAAGCCAUACGUUGAAACUAUGGUACCCACCUUGAUACCAUAGGGAUAAAGAAUAUUGAACUAAAACGGUAAUCUGGACAACUA
This 144-nucleotide small RNA is filed under the name Francisella tularensis subsp. holarctica. Its description in RNAcentral is "partial 6S RNA". It matches the Rfam family "6S / SsrS RNA", at positions 54 to 187 of the family's 187-position model. Rfam says of the family: E. coli 6S RNA was the first non coding RNA to be sequenced, but its function was unknown until recently. It consists of 184 nucleotides that fold into an extended hairpin structure with a large single-stranded internal bulge. The record is from RNAcentral. Lineage: Bacteria; Pseudomonadati; Pseudomonadota; Gammaproteobacteria; Thiotrichales; Francisellaceae.